CGCAAUCAGAGUCGCAACGCUGCCUCGCGCUCGCGCCCUCGCCUGAAUCUCGCAGCGCACGCACGCGUCGCCGUCGCCCCCAACGGCGUCGUGCCUCCCCCGUCAGCCGUCGGCGUCAUCCCCCGCGGCCCCGCGUGCUCUCGCCGUCUCGCGCUCUGUUGUGUGGCCUGCGGGCAGCACCGCAGCAGCCGCUGUCGGCGCCGGCCGCCGCUGCGCUGCGCGCCUGCCGCUGCCGGGCGGCGGGCUGCACCGCUGCCUGAGUCAGGCGGCCGGCAGGUCGACAGCAGCCAGCCAUAGCGGCAUAGGCAGCACCAGCACCCAGGACCAGCAGGCACAACUCGACAGCACUGACCAAAUUGAGGAAACUUCUCUCCGAAAUCGCAAUUCCCAAAUGCAUACGAAGAUUAUUGGCACUGACAUGAGUAAUUGCCAAUUGGUGUUAUAGUUUGCACAAUGAAGAGGAGCAAGACUUUGCAAUUUUAUUUUGCACGUGUCCCCCCCCCCCCUGCGACACAACAGAAUGCAGAUGAAGUGGAUGAAGUCUCAUUUGAAGAAGUUCACUGUGUUCGGCUGCUCUCUAGCCCUCCAGCGCUACAGUUUUUCCCUCUCACAUUCUUCCAGCUCCAGCCUCCAGCCACCAGUCAGGAGGUGCCGAUAGCGAUGAGGAAAUGGAAGAUGCGACCGAAUGGAACGCGCCAAAUCUUGGCUACCUGACUAGGAUCCCAAGUGUACUAGCGUCCACGGUACCGGUCAAUUCUUCAGUCGCGUUCCAGCGAAGCCAAGGACAAACAUUUAUCAGAUUAUUUGCAAUACUUGGGUGUGCUUAGUUGGUGAAAAAGUUUAAGUUUGGAUACUGUAGCAUAUUUCGUUGUUAUUUGAUAAUUAAUGUCCAAUCAUGAUUUAAUUAAUAUUGUUAGAUUCAUCUCGUGAGAAUCAGUCAGACUGUAUAAUUAGUUAUUUCGUUUAACUACAUUUAAUACUUUAUAUAUGUAUCUAAAAAUUCGAUGUGAUGGAUAUUGUAGG
This is a long non-coding RNA of Panicum virgatum (switchgrass), 1023 nucleotides long. RefSeq lists it as uncharacterized. The transcript has 3 exons. NCBI's taxonomy places the organism in Eukaryota, Viridiplantae, Streptophyta, Magnoliopsida, Poales, Poaceae. The record is from RefSeq and is a predicted model, not a curated record.